This 406-nucleotide ribosomal RNA is filed under the name uncultured bacterium. Its description in RNAcentral is "bacterial SSU rRNA". It matches the Rfam family "Bacterial small subunit ribosomal RNA", at positions 988 to 1393 of the family's 1533-position model. The record is from RNAcentral.
CCUUAGGGACUUAUCAGAGAUGCUUUGGUGCCUUCGGGACUAUGAGACAGGUGCUGCAUGGCUGUCGUCAGCUCGUGUUGUGAAAUGUUGGGUUAAGUCCCGCAACGAGCGCAACCCUUAUCCUUGUUUGCCAGCGAGUAAUGUCGGGAACUCCAGGGAGACUGCCGGUGAUAAACCGGAGGAAGGUGGGGACGACGUCAAGUCAUCAUGGCCCUUACGAGUAGGGCUACACACGUGCUACAAUGGCGUAUACAGAGGGCUGCCAACCAGCGAUGGUGAGCGAAUCCCAAAAAGUACGUCGUAGUCCGGAUUGGAGUCUGCAACUCGACUCCAUGAAGUCGGAAUCGCUAGUAAUCGUGGAUCAAAAUGCCACGGUGAAUACGUUCCCGGGUCUUGUACACACCGA